Molecule: transfer RNA, 71 nt
Filed under: Empedobacter brevis
Lineage: Bacteria; Pseudomonadati; Bacteroidota; Flavobacteriia; Flavobacteriales; Weeksellaceae
Also listed under: 3 other names
Description: tRNA-Cys
Rfam family: tRNA
About the family: Transfer RNA (tRNA) molecules are approximately 80 nucleotides in length. Their secondary structure includes four short double-helical elements and three loops (D, anti-codon, and T loops).
Source: RNAcentral
GGUCGGAUGGCUGAGUGGUUAGGUGAAGGCACGCAAUGUCUUUUACAGUGGUUCGAAUCCAUUUCCGACCU